UCUUCUAGCCCAAAGGUC
RNAcentral lists this unclassified non-coding RNA (18 nucleotides) under Mus musculus (house mouse). RNAcentral describes it as "oocyte_clustered_small_RNA5906". Lineage: Eukaryota; Metazoa; Chordata; Mammalia; Rodentia; Muridae. The record is from RNAcentral.